This is an RNA transcript of Macadamia integrifolia, 2947 nucleotides long. It is a transcript of the gene named pentatricopeptide repeat-containing protein At1g77405, with no coding region annotated. The record is from RefSeq and is a predicted model, not a curated record. The transcript is spliced from 4 exons. Lineage: Eukaryota; Viridiplantae; Streptophyta; Magnoliopsida; Proteales; Proteaceae.
AAAUUGCAGAAAAUCGGUUGAAAUAGGGAUCGGAUUCAAAUUGGGCGAUUCACCCGUUCUCAUUCCAAUUUUCAAACCAUGGAUGAACCACAGUUGAUCAACCAAAGCACUAGGUAUAUAAAGGGAUCGGUGACAUCGGUCUGGUAACUCUGAUCCUGUUUGAUACAGUUGCAGAUUUUCUAAUCUGACAAUCUGAACUCAGUAGAGAAUACCAAUCCACCUAGAACCAAAUCCUGAACUCAGUUAUCAAAUUCUUAGAACCAGCUUGAUACCCAUCCCGUACCAUUCCGAGGAGUGAGCUGAGCUCGAACGAAGUACACCGCCGACUCCACCAGCGAGCGGAAUAGAAACCCUACACCAACCCAUCUCUCCUUCAUUCUCCAGCAAAUUUGUUGCGGUAGGUGCCAGUCAGUAGCAUCCUCACCGGAAGGAUUACCAUAGAUUGUUGCAUUAUUUUCGAAUUUAUCAAGAUUGUCUUCCAAUGACUCAAUCAUAGAUGGGUUCACUACUUCCAUAGAUUUCAAGCUCUCAUCACUGAAAAAUUAAGCAUGCCACGGCUUUGACACCUGCAACGAGGAGUCACUGGUAAUGGGUUUUGUUGAUAAAAGGAAUUACAGCAACUCAGAACCGAGGAACAGGGGACCAUGACCAAUGCUAGUUGCAGGGCACCAUCCUCCUCUCUGCUGAGCCAAUCUAGUCUUGCAGUAGGAGUGAACUUGAUUUAUUUUUCUUAGUAUAAAAAUCAAAGCGAGAAGGAGAGAGAUAUAAAGAGAAAUAGGAGGGCUGAGGGUUACGGUUCUUGUUAAUCUUUGUAAAAAUGGUGACUUCAAGGACUCAAACUCUUCACCUAUAUCACUCUUUGAUAAACCAAGUAAUGGCUGCUAUGGUUCAAAACAGACCCUUCAAUGCUCAACUUGCUGCUACCAUUGUUGCACCCACCUGCAGUCUAUGGUCUGUCGACUUGGUGUGUGGAGUCUUGAGAUCCAUGCCCAGAUACUUCUUCCAGUCUGCUCAUUCCAUUGGCUCCCAAAAAGGUUUCCGACAUCGGGCACCUCUCAGACAAAGAAACCUUCGACGGGAAUCUGAUGGUUUUCGUGAUGGUUUGCUUGUUCUUGGACCAGCAGCUUACAGAGACCCUGAGAAGGUCAAUUUAGGACUAGACAAAGCGUUAGAGUUCUACUUUUGGGUGGAGAACCAUUUUGGCUUCACACAUGAUGAGGUUACCUGUAAAGAGAUGGCUUGUGUAUUGGCUAAGGGAAAUAGAUUGAAAGCACUUUGGGAAUUUCUCAAAGAAAUGUCCAGUAGGGCCAACAAGGGGCUUGUGACUACUGCCACUGUUACCUAUUUGAUUAAAGUCCUUGGAGAAGAGGGAUUAGCUAAUGAGGCAUUGGCUAUGUUUUAUCGUAUGAAGCAGUUUCAUUGUAAGCCGGAUGUUUAUGCAUAUAAUACUGUUAUUUGUGCUCUUUGCAGAGUUGGUAAUUUUAAGAAGGCGAGGUUUUUAUUGGAGCAGAUGCAAUUGCCAUGUUUUCAUUGCCCACCUGAUACAUUUACAUAUACAAUUCUCAUUAGUUUUUAUUGCAAGCAUAGCUUGCAGACCGGGUGCCGAAAGGCUAUAAGGAGGAGGUUGUGGGAGGCCAACCACAUGUUUCGGGUUAUGCUCUUGAAGGGCUUCGUUCCAGAUGUUGUUACUUAUAACUGCUUGAUUGAUGGAUGUUGUAAGACUUACCGGAUUGGCAGGGCGUUGGAGUUGUUCGAUCAUAUGAUUCAGAAGGGUUUGAUUCCCAACUGGAUCACUUAUAAUUCUUUUAUCAGGUAUUAUAGUGCCAUUAAUGAGAUUGACAAGUCUAUCGAGAUGAUGCGUAGGAUGAAGAUGAUGAACCAUGGGACACCCACUACGAGUUCUUACACCCCAAUCAUCCAUGCAUUGUCUGAAGCAGGAAGGGCACUUGAGGCACGGAAUUUUCUUGUUGAAUUGGUUGAAGGAGGGUCAGUUCCUAGAGAAUAUACAUAUAAAUUAGUUUGUGAUGCACUAAGUUCAGCAGGUGAGGCUGGCUUGCCAGACGAAAUUCGGAGGAGGAUUGAAGAUGGGAUCUGCCAUAGAUAUAGGCAGGUGAUGAAGGUGAAACCAAUAAUGGCACAUUAGAUUUCUACCUUAUAGGGGAAAUCCGGUACUUCUGUGUGCUGUCUACACCCAAUAACAGUCUUGGCAAUCAUUCCCAAUCCACCUUAUCCUCUGAAUGUUGACUAUGAUCACUAUAUAAACAACAAGAAGGCACUUAGAGAAGACAUGUGCUUCAUGAAGGAUCUGAUAUCUGGAAAGAAAGUAUGCCAUGUGCAGUUUUAUCUAUGAUUUGAUGGGAUUGAUCCCCAUGACAGAUAUUCAAAUCGGAAUGUUGUACCAUUUGAUAUCAAUAUGAAAGGAUUAGAUGGGAUCCAGGGACCAAUCUAUGUUGAAACAGGAUGAGUUUUCAGAAGGCAAGCACUGUAUGAUUAUGAUGCUCCUGUAAAGAAGAAACCUCCUGGAAAGACAUGCAGGUGCUGGCCUAGAAUGGUGCUGCCAUUGUUGUGGUUCUAGCCUUCUAGGAAGAAGAACAGGAAAGUGAAGCCAAAGGAGAAGAAGAAAAUAAAGCACAGAGAAAAUUCAACACAGAUGCACUCAAACUUGAAAAUAUUGAAGAGGGGGAUUGAAGGUAAAUAGUCGCAUUUUCACAGCGCCAGCUUUUCAGCUGGUUCUUGGUCUGCUUAUGUGGAACGUAUAUAUUGGUCAUACUAGCUGAUGUCCCCAUGACAGGAAUAGAUGCUGAAAAAUCGUCCCUCAUGUCCCAAAAAAAGUUUGAGAAAAAAUUUGGGCAGUCUCCUGUGUUCAUAGCUUCCACACUUGUAGUAAAUUCUAGAAGAUGAAGAACCUUUAUGAGCCUUUUUAUGAAGAAAAUUUUAUUAGGCAUCA